GAUGAACGCUGGCGGCGUGCCCAAUACAUGCAAGUCGAGCGAACAGACGAGGAGCUUGCUCCUCUGACGUUAGCGGCGGACGGGUGAGUAACACGUGGAUAACCUACCUAUAAGACUGGGAUAACUUCGGGAAACCGGAGCUAAUACCGGAUAAUAUAUUGAACCGCAUUGUUCAAUAGUGAAAGACGGUUUUGCUGUCACUUAUAGAUUGAUCCGCGCCGCAUUAGCUAGUUGGUAAGGUAACGGCUUACCAAGGCAACGAUGCGUAGCCGACCUGAGAGGGUGAUCGGCCACACUGGAACUGAGACACGGUCCAGACACCUACGGGAGGAAGCAGUAGGGAAUCUUCCGCAAUGGACGAAAGCCUGACGGAGCAACGCCGGGUGAGUGAUGAAGGUCUUCGGAUCGUAAAACUCUGUUAUUAGGGAAGAACAAAUGUGUAAGUAACUAUGCACGUCUUGACGGUACCUAGUCAGAAAGCCACGGCUAACUACGUG
Molecule: ribosomal RNA, 497 nt
Filed under: uncultured bacterium
Lineage: Bacteria
Description: partial 16S ribosomal RNA
Rfam family: Bacterial small subunit ribosomal RNA
Source: RNAcentral